UAAGGAAUAUUGGACAAUGGAGGCAACUCUGAUCCAGCCAUGCCGCGUGAAGGAAUAAGGCCCUAUGGGUUGUAAACUUCUUUUAGACGGGACAAAACCCCUUUACGUGUAAAGGGUUGAUGGUACUGUCAGAAUAAGCAUCGGCUAACUUCGUGCCAGCAGCCGCGGUAAUACGAAGGAUGCAAGCGUUAUCCGGAAUUAUUGGGUUUAAAGGGUGCGUAGGCGGACUAAUAAGUCAGUGGUGAAAGCCUGCAGCUUAACUGCAGAAUUGCCAUUGAUACUGUUAGUCUUGAGUACAGUUGAGGUAGGCGGAAUGUGUCAUGUAGCGGUUAAAUGCUUAGAUAUGACACAGAACACCGAUUGCGAAGGCAGCUUGCUAAGCUGUAACUGACGCUGAGGCACGAAAGCGUGGGGAGCAAACA
Molecule: ribosomal RNA, 422 nt
Filed under: uncultured bacterium
Lineage: Bacteria
Description: bacterial SSU rRNA
Rfam family: Bacterial small subunit ribosomal RNA
Source: RNAcentral